GGUCCUGAAUAGAGUCUGCAAACCUCAAGCAGCAGGUAAUACCUGCCGGGGCU
Molecule: transfer RNA, 53 nt
Filed under: Pristimantis pardalis (leopard robber frog)
Lineage: Eukaryota; Metazoa; Chordata; Amphibia; Anura; Strabomantidae
Description: tRNA-Cys
Source: RNAcentral